Molecule: ribosomal RNA, 377 nt
Filed under: uncultured cyanobacterium
Lineage: Bacteria; Bacillati; Cyanobacteriota
Description: bacterial SSU rRNA
Rfam family: Bacterial small subunit ribosomal RNA
Source: RNAcentral
CGCAAGCCUGACGGAGCAAGACCGCGUGCGGGAUGACGGCCUAAUGGUUGUAAACCCCUUUUCUCUGGGAAGAAGAUGACGGUACCAGAGGAAUCAGCCUCGGCUAACUCCGUGCCAGCAGCCGCGGUAAUACGGAGGAGGCAAGCGUUAUCCGGAAUUAUUGGGCGUAAAGCGUCCGUAGGUGGUUAUUCAAGUCUGCUGUCAAAGCGUGGGGCUUAACUCCAUAGAGGCAGUGGAAACUGGAUGACUUGAGUGCGGUAGGGGUCGAGGGAAUUCCCAGUGUAGCGGUGAAAUGCGUAGAUAUUGGGAAGAACACCAGUGGCGAAAGCGCUCGACUGGGCCUGCACUGACACUGAGGGACGAAAGCUAGGGGAGCG